UUCCAGCUCCAAAAGUGUAUACACAAGUUGUUGCGGUUAAAAAGCUCGUAGUUGGACCGUGGGUUUGAUAACAGUGUGGCGCCAUGAGCAACGCUCUUGGAACAACGUCAGCUGGAUCUUACCAAAUACAUAGAUAACACAAGAGGGCUCAGGCACUCGUCAUCUAAAAUUUACUUUGAAAAAAUUAGGGUGUUCAAAGCAGGCAAUUUGCCAGAAUACAUUAGCAUGGGAUAAUAGAACAUGACCUUCGGGUCUUGUUUGUUGGUUUCGUACCAGAAGGUAAUGAUUAACAGGGAUAGCUGGGGUUGAUUGUAUUCAGGGGCGAGAGGUGAAAUUCUAUGACCCUCUGAAGACAAACUAAUGCGAAGGCAUUCAACAAGGAUGUUUUCAUUG
RNAcentral lists this ribosomal RNA (393 nucleotides) under Hartmannellidae sp. RNAcentral describes it as "partial small subunit ribosomal RNA". It matches the Rfam family "Eukaryotic small subunit ribosomal RNA", at positions 583 to 975 of the family's 1831-position model. The record is from RNAcentral. Lineage: Eukaryota; Tubulinea; Elardia; Euamoebida; Hartmannellidae.